This 28-nucleotide small RNA is filed under the name Bombyx mori (domestic silkworm). Its description in RNAcentral is "ovarian small RNA-8920". The record is from RNAcentral. Lineage: Eukaryota; Metazoa; Arthropoda; Insecta; Lepidoptera; Bombycidae.
UGUAGAUGAACCGGCAGUGCGUGGGCGA